RNAcentral lists this transfer RNA (70 nucleotides) under Streptococcus sp. VT 162. RNAcentral describes it as "tRNA-Gln (TTG) (tRNA-Gln-TTG-2-1)". It matches the Rfam family "tRNA". From Rfam's summary of the family: Transfer RNA (tRNA) molecules are approximately 80 nucleotides in length. Their secondary structure includes four short double-helical elements and three loops (D, anti-codon, and T loops). Further hydrogen bonds mediate the characteristic L-shaped molecular structure. tRNAs have two regions of fundamental functional importance: the anti-codon, which is responsible for specific mRNA codon recognition, and the 3' end, to which the tRNAs corresponding amino acid is attached (by aminoacyl-tRNA synthetases). tRNAs cope with the degeneracy of the genetic code in two manners: having more than one tRNA (with a specific anti-codon) for a particular amino acid; and 'wobble' base-pairing, i.e. permitting non-standard base-pairing at the 3rd anti-codon position. The record is from RNAcentral. Lineage: Bacteria; Bacillati; Bacillota; Bacilli; Lactobacillales; Streptococcaceae.
UGGGGUAUAGCCAAGCGGUAAGGCAAGGGACUUUGACCCUCAUGCGUUGGUUCGAAUCCAGCUACCCCAG